UUCCUCCUUGUCUCGGGGAGCAUAACAUCUAAUGAACGUAUAGUGAGGAUGUUGAUGCUGACACCCAGAUUGAACCAGGACAUCCUGGCGAUACCCCCGCUCGGGGUGGUUGCUUUCGAACAGUGACCAUCUGGGCGGAAUUUUUGGAACG
RNAcentral lists this non-coding RNA (151 nucleotides) under Culex tarsalis. RNAcentral's name for it is "U4atac minor spliceosomal RNA". It matches the Rfam family "U4atac minor spliceosomal RNA". From Rfam's summary of the family: U4atac is an essential component of the minor U12-type spliceosome complex which is required for removal of the rarer class of eukaryotic introns (AT-AC, U12-type). The record is from Rfam by way of RNAcentral. Lineage: Eukaryota; Metazoa; Arthropoda; Insecta; Diptera; Culicidae.